RNAcentral lists this ribosomal RNA (115 nucleotides) under Cordylochernes scorpioides. The record is from RNAcentral. Lineage: Eukaryota; Metazoa; Arthropoda; Arachnida; Pseudoscorpiones; Chernetidae.
ACGGCCAUACCACAUUGAAAACACCGGUUCUCCUCCGAUUACCGAAGUUAAGCAAUGUCGGGUCCGGUCAGUACUUGGGAGGGUGACCACCUGGGAACACCGGGUGCUGUAGGCU